RNAcentral lists this ribosomal RNA (1103 nucleotides) under Helotiales sp. EF829. RNAcentral's name for it is "eukaryotic LSU rRNA". The stretch from base 506 to 1103 matches the Rfam family "Eukaryotic large subunit ribosomal RNA", at positions 1 to 611 of the family's 3401-position model. Lineage: Eukaryota; Fungi; Ascomycota; Leotiomycetes; Helotiales. The record is from RNAcentral.
ACCUGCGGAAGGAUCAUUAAUAAAAGGAUACCUUCGGGUAUACCCCAUCCGUGUCUAUCUACUCUUGUUGCUUUGGCAGGCCGUGGUCUCCCACUGUGGGCUCUGCCUGCAUGUGCCUGCCAGAGGACCAAACUCUGAAUUUUAGUGAUGUCUGAGUACUAUAUAAUAGUUAAAACUUUCAACAACGGAUCUCUUGGUUCUGGCAUCGAUGAAGAACGCAGCGAAAUGCGAUAAGUAAUGUGAAUUGCAGAAUUCAGUGAAUCAUCGAAUCUUUGAACGCACAUUGCACCCGGUGGUAUUCCGCCGGGUAUGCCUGUUCGAGCGUCUGUAGAACAACACCAAGACCAAGCUUAGGCUUGAUUUUGAGGUUGCGGCUUCGGCUGCAGCCUUUAAGAGAGGUGGCGGCGUCCGAUGGACUCUAAGCGUAGUAAUUUCUCCUCGCUACAGAGUCUGCCGGCGCAUUUGGUACUCACUCCAAGCCAACCAAACCCCCCCAAUUUUAGUUUGACCUCGGAUCAAGUAGGGAUACCCGCUGAACUUAAGCAUAUCAAUAAGCGGAGGAAAAGAAACCAACAGGGAUUACCUCAGUAACGGCGAGUGAAGCGGUAAGAGCUCAAAUUUGAAAGCUGCCAACAGGCCGCAUUGUAAUUUGUAGAAGAUGCUUUGGGUGUUGGCCUAGUCUAAGUUCCUUGGAACAGGACGUCAUAGAGGGUGAGAAUCCCGUAUGUGAUUAGUGCCAUCCCCCGUGUAAAGCUCUUUCGACGAGUCGAGUUGUUUGGGAAUGCAGCUCAAAAUGGGUGGUAAAUUUCAUCUAAAGCUAAAUAUUGGCCAGAGACCGAUAGCGCACAAGUAGAGUGAUCGAAAGAUGAAAAGCACUUUGGAAAGAGAGUUAAACAGUACGUGAAAUUGUUGAAAGGGAAGCGCUUGCAAUCAGACUUGCAGGCGGUUGAUCAUCCGAGGUUCUCCCCGGUGCACUCGAUCGUCUUCAGGCCAGCAUCGGUUUCAGUGGUGGGAUAAAGGCUGUGAGAAUGUGGCUCUUCGGAGUGUUAUAGCUCACGGUGCAAUGCCGCCUACUGGGACCGAGGACCGCGCUUCGGCUAGGA